CCUACGGGAGGCAGCAGUGAGGAAUAUUGGUCAAUGGACGCGAGUCUGAACCAGCCAUGCAGCGUGAAGGAUGACUGCCCUAUGGGUUGUAAACUGCUUUUAUAAGAGAGUAAAUUGAGACACGUGUACCUUUCUGUAUGUACUGUAUGAAUAAGGAUCGGCUAACUCCGUGCCAGCAGCCGCGGUAAUACGGAGGAUCCUAGCGUUAUCCGGAUUUAUUGGGUUUAAAGGGUGCGUAGGCGGGUGGUUAAGUCAGUUGUGAAAGUCCGCGGCUCAACUGUAGAAUUGCCAUUGAUACUGGCAGUCUAGAGUGUAGUUGAGGUAGGCGGAAUGCGUGGUGUAGCGGUGAAAUGCUUAGAGAUCACGCAGAACACCGAUUGCGAAGGCAGCUUACCAAACUGCUACUGACAUUGAUGCACGAAAGCGUGGGGAGCAAACAGGAUUAGAUACCCUAGUAGUC
RNAcentral lists this ribosomal RNA (460 nucleotides) under uncultured bacterium. Its description in RNAcentral is "partial 16S ribosomal RNA". It matches the Rfam family "Bacterial small subunit ribosomal RNA", at positions 338 to 795 of the family's 1533-position model. The record is from RNAcentral.